GACGAACGCUGGCGGCGUGCUUAACACAUGCAAGUCGAACGGAAAGGCCCUGCUUUUGUGGGGUGCUCGAGUGGCGAACGGGUGAGUAACACGUGAGUAACCUGCCCUUGACUUUGGGAUAACUUCAGGAAACUGGGGCUAAUACCGGAUAGGAGCUCCUGCUGCAUGGUGGGGGUUGGAAAGUUUCGGCGGUUGGGGAUGGACUCGAGGCUUAUCAGCUUGUUGGUGGGGUAGUUGCUUACCAAGGCUUUGACGGGUAGCCGGCCUGAGAGGGUGACCGGCCACAUUGGGACUGAGAUACGGCCCAGACUCCUACGGGAGGCAGCAGUGGGGAAUAUUGCACAAUGGGCGGAAGCCUGAUGCAGCAACGCCGCGUGCGGGAUGACGGCCUUCGGGUUGUAAACCGCUUUCGCCUGUGACGAAGCGUGAGUGACGGUAAUGGGUAAAGAAGCACCGGCUAACUACGUG
This 468-nucleotide ribosomal RNA is filed under the name uncultured bacterium. RNAcentral's name for it is "partial 16S ribosomal RNA". It matches the Rfam family "Bacterial small subunit ribosomal RNA", at positions 28 to 507 of the family's 1533-position model. The record is from RNAcentral.